UUCGGAGGUGGCUAGCGUCGGUGGGAAUCACUGGGCGUAAAGCGCGUGUAGGCGGAUAUGCAAGCAAGAGGUGAAAGCCCAGGGCUUAACCUUGGAACUGCCUUUUGAACUGUAUAUCUGGAGUUUUGGAGGGGAGUGUGGAAUUCCUAAUGUAGAGGUGAAAUUCGUAGAGAUUAGGAGGAACACCGGUGGCGAAGGCGGCACUCUGGACAAAUACUGACGCUGAGGCGCGAAAGCGUGGGGAGCAAACAGG
This 253-nucleotide ribosomal RNA is filed under the name uncultured bacterium. RNAcentral's name for it is "partial 16S ribosomal RNA". It matches the Rfam family "Bacterial small subunit ribosomal RNA", at positions 524 to 776 of the family's 1533-position model. The record is from RNAcentral.